Long non-coding RNA from Hevea brasiliensis (rubber tree), 553 nucleotides. RefSeq lists it as uncharacterized. NCBI's taxonomy places the organism in Eukaryota, Viridiplantae, Streptophyta, Magnoliopsida, Malpighiales, Euphorbiaceae. The transcript is spliced from 2 exons. The record is from RefSeq and is a predicted model, not a curated record.
UGACCCGCGGAAAGAGGAAGUUGAUACAAUGCAUUGAGAUCUUAUUCCUUGAACUUUCUAAUAUUUCUUUUCAACUUUCUGCUGUCCAAAUUUGGCUUUGGAUGUCUGGGGCUUGCUGGUGGCUACAACGUCCCUGUCGAUGAAGAAGGCGGCAUUUCAAUCAUCAAUGAAGCAUUCAAUAGAGGAAGUACAACGCCCCUCUCUCUGAAGAAGGCAUUUCAAUCAUGCAGGAAGCAUUCAAUAAAGGAAGCAUUGUAUCACCCUUCAGUGCCACUAGAGGAAACUGUACCCAUAUGGGCUAGGUGUAUAAGAGACGCAGUAUGGUUGCCAACUUAGUCCAGAAAGCUGAAAAGAAUGGAUACAAAUCUAUUAUCCAAACAGCUGAUAGUCCAAGACUCGGUUGAAGAGAAGUAAACAUAAAGAAUAAGUGCCUAUCAAUACUUCCGCUUUCAAUUUAUUUGAACACACUAUUAUACUUUGCUUGAAAUGCCUCACAUGGUGAGGAUGCAACAUAAAUAUUAGUUAGUGAUCUAAUCAUAAAGGUGUUUCUAUC